UAAGCCAUAAUAGAAAGAAUGGAUAAUUAUUGAUUGACCAUCUUUAUUCUGUGGGCUCUGAUUCUCCAAUGGGAAUACCAAGGGAUGGUUUUCCAUACUGGAACCCAAAGGUAAAGACACUCAAGGACAGACAUUUUUGGCAGAGCUCAGUUUUCUGUGCUUGGACCCUCUGGGCCCAUCCUGGCCAUGAUGGAAAGGAAGUGGAAGACAGGCAGAGUGCACCGUAUCAAGGGAGAACUUCAAUUCUGCGGGAUGGCAUCACUGAAGGGAAGGCUGCUCUCCGAAUACACAACGUCACAGCCUCUGACAGUGGAAAGUACUUGUGUUAUUUCCAAGAUGGUGACUUCUAUGAAAAAGCCCUGGUGGAGCUGAAGGUUGCAGCACUGGGUUCUAAUCUUCACAUCGAAGUGAAGGGUUAUGAGAAUGGAGGGAUCCAUCUGGAGUGCAGGUACACCGGCCGGUACCCCCAACCCCAAAUACAGUGGAGCGACGCCAAGGGAGAGAACAUCCCAGCUGUGGAAGCACCUGUGGUUGCAGACAGAGUGGGCCUAUAUGAAGUAGCAGCAUCUGUGAUCAUGAGAGGCGGCUCCGGGGAGGGUGUAUCCUGCAUCAUCAGAAAUUCCCUCCUCGGCCUGGAAAAGACAGCCAGCAUUUCCAUCGCAGACCCCUUCUUCAGGAGCGCCCAGCCCUGGAUCGCAGCCCUGGCAGGGACCCUGCCUAUCUUGCUGCUACUUCUCGCCGGAGCCAGUUACUUCUUGUGGAGACAACAGAAGGAAAUAACUGCUCUGUCCAGUGAGAUAGAAAGUGAGCAAGAGAUGAAAGAAAUGGGAUAUGCUGCAACAGAGCAGGAAAUA
This 854-nucleotide small RNA is filed under the name Pan troglodytes (chimpanzee). RNAcentral's name for it is "processed transcript". The record is from RNAcentral. Lineage: Eukaryota; Metazoa; Chordata; Mammalia; Primates; Hominidae.